CGGACGGGUGAGUAACGCGUGAGAAUCUGGCUUCAGGUCUGGGACAACCACUGGAAACGGUGGCUAAUACCGGAUGUGCCGAAAGGUGAAAGGUUAACUGCCUGAAGAUGAGCUCGCGUCUGAUUAGCUAGUUGGAAGUGUAAUGGACUCCCAAGGCGACGAUCAGUAGCUGGUCUGAGAGGACGAUCAGCCACACUGGGACUGAGACACGGCCCAGACUCCUACGGGAGGCAGCAGUGGGGAAUUUUCCGCAAUGGGCGAAAGCCUGACGGAGCAAUACCGCGUGAGGGAGGAAGGCUCUUGGGUCGUAAACCUCUUUUCUCAGGGAAGAACACAAUGACGGUACCUGAGGAAUAAGCAUCGGCUAACUCCGUGCCAGCAGCCGCGGUAAUACGGAGGAUGCAAGCGUUAUCCGGAAUGAUUGGGCGUAAAGCGUCCGCAGGUGGCUGUGUAAGUCUGCUGUUAAAUAGUGAGGCUCAACCUCAUAAAGGCAGUGGAAACUACACGGCUAGAGUGCGUUCGGGGCAGAGGGAAUUCCUGGUGUAGCGGUGAAAUGCGUAGAGAUCAGGAAGAACACCGGUGGCGAAAGCGCUCUGCUAGGCCGCAACUGACACUGAGGGACGAAAGCUAGGGGAGCGAAUGGGAUUAGAUACCCCAGUAGUC
Molecule: ribosomal RNA, 663 nt
Filed under: uncultured cyanobacterium
Lineage: Bacteria; Bacillati; Cyanobacteriota
Description: bacterial SSU rRNA
Rfam family: Bacterial small subunit ribosomal RNA
Source: RNAcentral